UACGUAGGUGGCAAGCGUUGUCCGGAUUUACUGGGCGUAAAGGGCGCGCAGGCUGUUAUGCGAGUCUGCUGUGAAAUGUACCGGCUCAACCGCUGCCUUGCGGCGGAUACUGCAUAGCUGGAGUACUGGAGAGGGAAGUGGAAUUCCCGGUGUAGCGGUGAAAUGCGUAGAUAUCGGGAGGAACGCCAGUGGCGAAGGCGGCUUUCUGGCCAGUUACUGACGCUCAUGCGCGAAAGCUGGGGUAGCGAACCGGAUUA
Molecule: ribosomal RNA, 257 nt
Filed under: uncultured prokaryote
Description: partial 16S ribosomal RNA
Rfam family: Bacterial small subunit ribosomal RNA
Source: RNAcentral